Molecule: non-coding RNA, 574 nt
Filed under: Drosophila ananassae
Lineage: Eukaryota; Metazoa; Arthropoda; Insecta; Diptera; Drosophilidae
Description: Eukaryotic large subunit ribosomal RNA
Rfam family: Eukaryotic large subunit ribosomal RNA
Source: Rfam by way of RNAcentral
CAACCUCAACUCAUAUGGGACUACCCCCUGAAUUUAAGCAUAUUAAUUAGGGGAGGAAAAGAAACUAACAAGGAUUUUCUUAGUAGCGGCGAGCGAAAAGAAAUCAGUUCAGCACUAAGUCACUUUGUCUAUAUGGCAAAUGUGAGAUGCAGUGUAUGGAGCGUCAAUAUUCUAGUAUGAGAAAUUAACGAUUUAAGUCCUUCUUAAAUGAGGCCAUUUACCCAUAGAGGGUGCCAGGCCCGUAUAACGUUAAUGAUUACUAGAUGAUGUUUCCAAAGAGUCGUGUUGCUUGAUAGUGCAGCACUAAGUGGGUGGUAAACUCCAUCUAAAACUAAAUAUAACCAUGAGACCGAUAGUAAACAAGUACCGUGAGGGAAAGUUGAAAAGAACUCUGAAUAGAGAGUUAAAUAGUACGUGAAACUGCUUAGAGGUUAAGCCCGAUGAACCUGAAUAUCCGUUAUGGAAAAUUCAUCAUUAAAGUUAUAAUAUUUAAACAAUAUUAUACAAAUAAUGUGCAUUUUUUCCAUAUAAGGACAUUGUAAUCUAUUAACAUAUUAAAUUUAUCAUAAAAUAU